UGUGUACAACAAUAUGUGAUUAUUAGUUUUAUACGCUCGUGUAAUCGUGUCUCUUAAUUUUUUACUAGGAAAUCAUUUUCCGAAGAGUUAAAAGCGCUCAAAAAAUACCUCGUCCGAGACGCCGUUAUAAAAUAUGAAUUUUUCAAGUUACCCAUCUUCCAAGAAAUUCGAAAAGUCCAGGCGAAAAGACCAGGCGAAACUCGAGGGACCGUUCAAUUAACAUAGGUGUAUAAGUAUUUCGACCCACGACAUUUGGAACGAAAAAUCCUGCCAAUUAAAUAUACGAUUUUUUUUUU
Molecule: non-coding RNA, 296 nt
Organism: Cinara cedri
Lineage: Eukaryota; Metazoa; Arthropoda; Insecta; Hemiptera; Aphididae
Source: the annotation of a GenBank genome assembly